GGGUUGUGAGGUUAAGCGACUAAGCGUACACGGUGGAUGCCUAGGCAGUCAGAGGCGAUGAAGGGCGUGCUAAUCUGCGAAAAGCGUCGGUAAGGUGAUAUGAACCGUUAUACCCGACGAUACCCGAAUGGGGAAACCCAGUGUGAUACGUCACACUAUUGCAUGGUGAAUACAUAGCCAUGCAAGGCGAACCGGGGGAACUGAAACAUCUAAGUACCCCGAGGAAAAGAAAUCAACCGAGAUUCCCCCAGUAGCGGCGAGCGAACGGGGAAGAGCCCAGAACCUGAAUCAGUUUGUGCAUUAGUGGAAGCGUCUGGAAGGUCGCACAGUAUAGGGUGAUAGUCCCGUACACAAAAAUGCACUUAUUGUGAGUUCGAUGAGUAGGGCGGGACACGUGACAUCCUGUCUGAAUAUGGGGGGACCAUCCUCCAAGGCUAAAUACUCCUGACUGACCGAUAGUGAACCAGUACCGUGAGGGAAAGGCGAAAAGAACCCCGGCGAGGGGAGUGAAAUAGAACCUGAAACCGUGUACGUACAAGCAGUGGGAGCCUACUUGUUAGGUGACUGCGUACCUUUUGUAUAAUGGGUCAGCGACUUAUAUUUUGUAGCAAGGUUAACCGAAUAGGGGAGCCGUAGGGAAACCGAGUCUUAACUGGGCGUCAAGUUGCAAGGUAUAGACCCGAAACCCGGUGAUCUAGCCAUGGGCAGGUUGAAGGUUGGGUAACACUAACUGGAGGACCGAACCGACUAAUGUUGAAAAAUUAGCGGAUGACUUGUGGCUGGGGGUGAAAGGCCAAUCAAACCGGGAGAUAGCUGGUUCUCCCCGAAAGCUAUUUAGGUAGCGCCUCGUGAACUCAUCUUCGGGGGUAGAGCACUGUUUCGACUAGGGGGCCAUCCCGGCUUACCAACUCGAUGCAAACUACGAAUACCGAAGAAUGUUAUCACGGGAGACACACGGCGGGUGCUAACGUCCGUCGUGAAGAGGGAAACAACCCAGACCGCCAGCUAAGGUCCCAAAGUCAUGGUUAAGUGGGAAACGAUGUGGGAAGGCAUAGACAGCCAGGAUGUUGGCUUAGAAGCAGCCAUCAUUUAAAGAAAGCGUAAUAGCUCACUGGUCGAGUCGGCCUGCGCGGAAGAUGUAACGGGGCUAAACCAUGCACCGAAGCUGCGGCAGCGACGCUUAGGCGUUGUUGGGUAGGGGAGCGUUCUGUAAGCCGUUGAAGGUGGCCUGUGAGGGUUGCUGGAGGUAUCAGAAGUGCGAAUGCUGACAUAAGUAACGAUAAUGCGGGUGAAAAACCCGCACGCCGGAAGACCAAGGGUUCCUGUCCAACGUUAAUCGGGGCAGGGUGAGUCGACCCCUAAGGCGAGGCUGAAAAGCGUAGUCGAUGGGAAACAGGUUAAUAUUCCUGUACUUGGUGUUACUGCGAAGGGGGGACGGAGAAGGCUAGGCUGGCCGGGCGACGGUUGUCCCGGUUCAAGCGUGUAGGGGUGU
This 1492-nucleotide ribosomal RNA is filed under the name Ewingella americana. RNAcentral's name for it is "partial 23S ribosomal RNA". It matches the Rfam family "Bacterial large subunit ribosomal RNA", at positions 1 to 1529 of the family's 2925-position model. Lineage: Bacteria; Pseudomonadati; Pseudomonadota; Gammaproteobacteria; Enterobacterales; Yersiniaceae. The record is from RNAcentral.